GACGAACGCUGGCGGCGUGCUUAACACAUGCAAGUCGAACGGAAAGGCCUUUUCGGAGGUACUCGAGUGGCGAACGGGUGAGUAACACGUGGGUGAUCUGCCCUGCACUCUGGGAUAAGCCUGGGAAACUGGGUCUAAUACCGGAUAGGACCGCACUUUAGUGUGUGUGGUGGAAAGUUGUUUCGGUGUAGGAUGAGCCCGCGGCCUAUCAGCUUGUUGGUGGGGUAAUGGCCUACCAAGGCGGCGACGGGUAGCCGGACUGAGAGGUUGGUCGGCCACAUUGGGACUGAGAUACGGCCCAGACUCCUACGGGAGGCAGCGGUGGGGAAUAUUGCACAAUGGGCGCAAGCCUGAUGCAGCGACGCCGCGUGGGGGAUGACGGCCUUCGGGUUGUAAACUCCUUUCGCCAGGGACGAAGCGUUUUGUGACGGUACCUGGAGAAGAAGCACCGGCUAACUACGUG
Molecule: ribosomal RNA, 463 nt
Filed under: uncultured bacterium
Lineage: Bacteria
Description: partial 16S ribosomal RNA
Rfam family: Bacterial small subunit ribosomal RNA
Source: RNAcentral